AGAGUUUGUCCUGCUCAGAUUGAACGCUGGCGGCAUGCCUUACACAUGCAAGUCGAACGGUAACAGGUUAAGCUGACGAGUGGCGAACGGGUGAGUAAUGUAUCGGAACGUGCCCAGUCUGGGGGAUAACUGCUCGAAAGAGCAGCUAAUACCGCAUACGACCUGAGGGUGAAAAGCGGGGGAUCGCAAGACCUCGCGCGAUUGGAGCGGCCGAUAUCAGAUUAGGUAGUUGGUGAGGUAAAGGCUCACCAAGCCGACGAUCUGUAGCUGGUCUGAGAGGACGACCAGCCACACUGGGACUGAGACACGGCCCAGACUCCUACGGGAGGCAGCAGUGGGGAAUUUUGGACAAUGGGCGCAAGCCUGAUCCAGCCAUGCCGCGUGCGGGAAGAAGGCCUUCGGGUUGUAAACCGUUUUUGUCAGGGAAGAAAAGGUUCUGGCUAAUACCUGGGACUCAUGACGGUACCUGAAGAAUAAGCACCGGCUAACUACGUG
Molecule: ribosomal RNA, 495 nt
Filed under: uncultured Roseateles sp.
Lineage: Bacteria; Pseudomonadati; Pseudomonadota; Betaproteobacteria; Burkholderiales; Sphaerotilaceae
Description: bacterial SSU rRNA
Rfam family: Bacterial small subunit ribosomal RNA
Source: RNAcentral